GACGAACGCUGGCGGCGUGCCUAAUACAUGCAAGUAGAACGCUGAAGGAGGAGCUUGCUUCUCUGGAUGAGUUGCGAACGGGUGAGUAACGCGUAGGUAACCUGCCUGGUAGUGGGGGAUAACUAUUGGAAACGAUAGCUAAUACCGCAUAAUAGCAGUUGUUGCAUGAUAACUGUUUGAAAGGUGCAAUUGCACCGCUACCAGAUGGACCUGCGUUGUAUUAGCUAGUUGGUGGGGUAACGGCUCACCAAGGCGACGAUACAUAGCCGACCUGAGAGGGGGAUCGGCCACACUGGGACUGAGACACGGCCCAGACUCCUACGGGAGGCAGCAGUAGGGAAUCUUCGGCAAUGGACGGAAGUCUGACCGAGCAACGCCGCGUGAGUGAAGAAGGUUUUCGGAUCGUAAAGCUCUGUUGUAAGAGAAGAACGAGUGUGAGAGUGGAAAGUUCACACUGUGACGGUAUCUUACCAGAAAGGGACGGCUAACUACGU
This 494-nucleotide ribosomal RNA is filed under the name uncultured bacterium. RNAcentral describes it as "partial 16S ribosomal RNA". It matches the Rfam family "Bacterial small subunit ribosomal RNA", at positions 28 to 506 of the family's 1533-position model. The record is from RNAcentral.